UACGUAUGGGGCUAGCGUUGUUCGGAAUUAUUGGGCGUAAAGGGCACGCAGGUGGAUAAAAAAGUUGGUUGUAUAAUCUUUCGGCUCAACCGGAAGUCUGCUUCCAAAACUGUUUAUCUUGAGUACUAGAGGGGAGAGCGGAAUUCUCGGUGUAGCGGUGGAAUGCGCAGAUAUCGAGAAGAACAUCAGUGGCGAAGGCGGCUCUCUGGCUAGUAACUGACACUCAUGUGCGAAAGCGUGGGUAGCGAACAGG
This 253-nucleotide ribosomal RNA is filed under the name uncultured bacterium. RNAcentral's name for it is "partial 16S ribosomal RNA". It matches the Rfam family "Bacterial small subunit ribosomal RNA", at positions 524 to 776 of the family's 1533-position model. The record is from RNAcentral.